Molecule: ribosomal RNA, 284 nt
Filed under: uncultured bacterium
Lineage: Bacteria
Description: partial 16S ribosomal RNA
Rfam family: Bacterial small subunit ribosomal RNA
Source: RNAcentral
AACGAACGCUGGCGGCAGGCCUAACACAUGCAAGUCGAACGCUCCGCAAGGGGAGUGGCGCACGGGUGAGUAACACGUGGGAACCUACCUUCUGGUACGGAACAACCAAGGGAAACUUUGGCUAAGACCGUAUACGACCUCCGGGUGAAAGAUUGAUCGCCGGAAGAGGGGCCCGCGUCCGAUUAGGUAGUUGGUGAGGUAACGGCUCACCAAGCCUUCGAUCGGUAGCUGGUCUGAGAGGAUGACCAGCCACACUGGGACUGAGACACGGCCCAGACUCCUAC